AUUGAACGCUGUCGGCAGGCCUACCACAUGCAAGUCGAACGAGUGGCGGACGGGUGAGUAAUGUCUGGGAAACUGCCUGAUGGAGGGGGAUAACUACUGGAAACGGUAGCUAAUACCGCAUACCAUCAGAUGUGCCCAGAUGUGAUUAGCUAGUAGGUGGGGUGACGGCUCACCUAGGCGACGAUCCCUAGCUGGGCUGAGAGGAUGACCAGCCACACGGGAACUGAGACAAGGUCCAGACUCCUACGUGAGGCAGCAGUGGGGAAGAUUGCACAAUGGGCGCAAGCCUGAUGCAGCCAUGCCGCGUGUAUGAAGAAGGCCUUCGGGUUGUAAAGUAAUUUCAGCGGGGAGGCGUUACCCGCAGAAGAAGCACCGGCUAACUCCGUGCCAGCAGCCGCGGUAAUUC
RNAcentral lists this ribosomal RNA (406 nucleotides) under uncultured bacterium. Its description in RNAcentral is "partial 16S ribosomal RNA". It matches the Rfam family "Bacterial small subunit ribosomal RNA", at positions 30 to 526 of the family's 1533-position model. The record is from RNAcentral.